RNAcentral lists this ribosomal RNA (253 nucleotides) under uncultured bacterium. RNAcentral describes it as "partial 16S ribosomal RNA". It matches the Rfam family "Bacterial small subunit ribosomal RNA", at positions 524 to 776 of the family's 1533-position model. The record is from RNAcentral.
UACGAGAGGCCCAAACGUUAUUCGGAUUUACUGGGCUUAAAGAGUUCGUAGGCGGCUUGGAAAGUGGGGUGUGAAAGCCCGCGGCUCAACCGAGGAAUUGCGCUCCAAACUACCGAGCUUGAGUAGGCUAGAGGUGAGCAGAACUGAUGGUGGAGCGGUGAAAUGCGUUGAUAUCAUCAGGAAUACCGGAGGCGAAGGCGGCUCACUGGGACCUAACUGACGCUGAGGAACGAAAGCUAGGGGAGCAAACGGG